GACAUUUCAGACUAAGGCGGAAGAAGAGGGGGCAUGUCUGCAUAUAUACAAAUAAUAGUCCACUGAGCUCGGCUCACCCUCAUCCAUGCAUAAUGCAGUGUC
Molecule: long non-coding RNA, 102 nt
Organism: Sinocyclocheilus rhinocerous
Lineage: Eukaryota; Metazoa; Chordata; Actinopteri; Cypriniformes; Cyprinidae
Exons: 3
Source: RefSeq, a predicted model, not a curated record